RNAcentral lists this ribosomal RNA (444 nucleotides) under uncultured bacterium. RNAcentral describes it as "SSU rRNA". It matches the Rfam family "Bacterial small subunit ribosomal RNA", at positions 369 to 808 of the family's 1533-position model. The record is from RNAcentral.
UCAUGGGCGAGAGCCUGAACCAGCCAAGCUAGCGUGAAGGAUGACUGCCCUAUGCNCNUGUAAACUUNNUUUAUAAAGGAAUAAAGUCGGGUAUGCAUACCCGUUUGCAUGUACUUUAUGAAUAAGGAUCGGCUAACUCCGUGCCAGCAGCCGCGGUAAUACGGAGGAUCCGAGCGUUAUCCGGAUUUAUUGGGUUUAAAGGGAGCGUAGAUGGAUGUUUAAGUCAGUUGUGAAAGUUUGCGGCUCAACCGUAAAAUUGCAGUUGAUACUGGAUAUCUUGAGUGCAGUUGAGGCAGGCGGAAUUCGUGGUGUAGCGGUGAAAUGCUUAGAUAUCACGAAGAACUCCGAUUGCGAAGGCAGCUCACUAGACUGUCACUGACACUGAUGCUCGAAAGUGUGGGUAUCAAACAGGAUUAGAUACCCUGGUAGUCCAAGGGCGAAUUC